This 5010-nucleotide long non-coding RNA is filed under the name Sus scrofa (pig). RNAcentral's name for it is "lncRNA (ENSSSCG00000058679.1, ENSSSCG00160022482.1)". The record is from RNAcentral. Lineage: Eukaryota; Metazoa; Chordata; Mammalia; Artiodactyla; Suidae.
UCCUAUUUAUGUAAAAUAUCUAUACCAUAAUGCGUUCUACUGAACCAGUUGAAAUUCAGUUUUCAAAGCAUGAUGAUUUUCUCUUAUGUGUUGUUAAAUGCUCACUUCCCUUUUCUUGUAUUAAGUCAUUACUAUUUCAUGUGUUUUCAGAGCAGCAUAAAAUCUGAAACUAUGGUACUUAUCAAGACUGACUUUUUGGGUUGUCAAGAGUCACAUCCUCUAGGGCUCAAUUAUUUUUCCACGAGAAAUUAUGACUUAAAUCAUCAGUUUUUCUGUGGACAAUACUACCACUUCCCAUUCUCAAGCUUUCUUCUCCUGUUCUUAUAGCCACAGCUCAUUGCAAGCUACUCUGAGAUAGGAAAGUAUUCUUCCAGUGGAGGAGAGAUGCAUGGCAUGGUUGCUUUUGCAAAUUGUAAAUGGUGACACUUAUGAUAACUUGAUAGCCUCAAACACUGGGCAUUUACCAUAGGAGACUACAGAUUGUCGUACUCUAGGUUUUGACCCAUAGAUAGAAAAGUUGACUGAUGCCAUUUUGUCCACACUGGCCUCCAUGCAGCUUUCUGGGUAGGAAGGAGUGGCAGAGAGAUUCUAUAAUCAGGUAACAACAUGUUCCAGCCGGUGCCAUCCUUAUCACACAAAGCAUCUUUUUUAUUAGCUCUCCCCCUCCCCCAAUCAAACAUUGCAAUAGGACUGGGUAGAUAAAUGGCUCUGUCUUGUCACGGACCACAGAUAUGACUCCAAAAAUCCAGAGAUUCAUGUCACUGAGAGUUGAAGGUGUCCUACAAAACCCUGGCUCUGUAGGAAUAGUUAGGAAGGGAUACAAAGUGGCGAAGUACUCUUUUUACUUUGAGAAGAAAAUUAACACAAAUAGUAACAAUUCUCACCCCUUCAUCUGUCUUGACAAGCCUUCAUAAUAGAUCACAAAUAUACAUCAUUCCCCCUACCCCAAAAUUAGAGAAUGCAGGGUUGGAAUUUGUAAGCAAAUAUGUUACUUCAUUUUUAAGGUGGUUGCUGCAUUCAAAUGGCAUGUGCCACUUGAAAGGAAAUCUGAGAAACAAGUCAGCUCAAGUCAAAUAAGAGAUCCUCUUAGAAAGAAGUGGUGACAGAUCCUCUCUCCUUAAUCUGUAAAAUAUUUAUUUAUUUAUUUAUUUAUUUAUUUAUUUAUUUAUUUAUUUAUUUUUAAGGACUGCACCUGCAGCAUAUGAAAGUUGCCCGGUCAGGGGUCAAAUCUGAGCUGCAGCUGAGGCCAAUGCCACAGCCACAGCCACAGCAACACGGGAUCUGAGCUGCAUUUGUGACCUAUGCCACAGCUUACAGCAAUACUGGAUCCUUAACCCACUGAUCAAGGCCAGGGAUCAAACCCACAUUCUCAUGGAUACUAAUCAGGUUCUUAACCCAUGGCACAAUAAGAACUCCUAGAAUAAUGAUCUUAAUGAUCCAUGUUCAUUUUCACUUCUGUGUCCAUGAUUUAAUUCUAAAAUGAAAUGACAUAUGAAGUGACAUUCAUUUCAAUUGAAUUUACUUCUACUUGAAUUAGGAGUGGCUUUGAGGAAAGCAAGUAUGAGUAAGAGUAUUACUAACAUUGAUCAUAAUAAAAGCAGCAUAAUAAAAGCUACCAUUCUUCUUUGAGUGUCUCGUGUUAUAUACCAGACGUCACAAUAAGCACCCUGUGAUAUUCUCCAAAGUAACUCAUACAUCAACCUUGAGAAAAAAGUGUUUCUUAUUGGCUACUCCUAUUUUAGAGAAAAGGAAACUGAGGUUUGGUCACACAGCUCUUAGAGCCAACGAAGAAUCUCGGCUUAUGGCUUUUAAACCACAGACUCUCAGGAGACCAUGUGCUCUCCAACUUCAUUUCACAAAGAAAAUUCAGGAACUCCUCCAGCAGGUAUUUGCUAUUCGUUUUUAUGCAUAAUUAAGAAAUUAUAUGCUGCUGAUAACUCUGGUAAUGUAAUGCCUAACCUCUCACAUUCUUCCUUGAUUGCCAUGCAAAGGAUUUGAAAAGAGAUAUUUUAGAAUAAUUACCCAUCAGUAAUCAUCUCCACACAACACAAAUCACAUUUGAUUCCCCAUUAAGACAGACCAAGAGAAUGAGAGGUUUUCACUCCAGAAUGCUUUCUGCUGCAAUCAGGUUAAUUCUAUGUUUCCAUUUCAUUGGCCUUCUGAAUUUAAACAUGGGAACACGGAACAAAUUCUAUGUAGGGGAUAAUCAUAUCCCCAAUCAUGGGUCUUGAUCUACUAGUGAAAAAGUGCUUAACUAUUAAGUUUCCAAGAGGAAUAUCAUCCCCUUCAGAAAUGUCCCUUCCCAGGAAGGAUUCAUUCAGUAAAUAGGGGUGAACACGUUAUUACUGAAGGACAGCUGUUUGCCUUACUUCACGCCAAAGCUCUGACCUUUACGAUCACAGCCUGUAUGAAAGAAUUCAUACAGAAGAACAAAAAGCCAAAUGCCAAGCCAUCAGAGUUAAUCAAUGCCAUUAUUAAAUGCCAGUUGGCAUUUUUGCUCCAUGGUGACAUAUCAUGUUUGAUUUAUAAAAGGAGUAACCUUUUAAGAUGAUCAAUACAUCAAUAAUUCUUGUGUGACUCAUGCCAAGAUUUAGCUUCCUAUCAUUUCUUUUAUUUAAGUAAUACUAUAGUCUUAUUCAGGUAGAAAGAGUAUUAAUUUGGCAGAUCUACGGUUUUGCAUCAUAAUCAAUAGGUUUACUACCAACAUCCUCAUCCAACAUGGUACCUCCCCCUCCCCCAAAUUUGACUUCCAUUCUUUUUUUCCACUACGAGUAGAGAGAAUUAUCCUGCCGAGUGGGAAAUAUAUCCUCCAUGUCUCACAGGAACAGAGUAUCUGCUCUUCAAACCCGUGUACCAAGAAUUUCUGUGUCUUAUCCUUCAAUUUCACUACUGAUGCUCUUUCUCCUUCUCCACAGGGCCUCUCCUUUCCUUGGGCUCAUGAGAAACUAUCAUGUGCAUUGACACAGGAAUUUAAGAGGCAUUAUUACUUCAUCAAGCUGUAUUGUAAGUCAUUAUUAUUUUUUUUUUCUUUUUAGCUUGGUGGUAACACAAAUGGUUUAGUGGUUACACAAGUGUUUGGUUUGUAAUUUUCCUUACAAUGUGUAAGCACUUCUCUGCUUGCUGUAUCACUUUUUCUACAUGCAUGUUAUAUUUCAUAAGAUGCAUAAAGCAUAUAGAAAAGUGCCUGAAAAAAAUCUAAGGAAUAAUUAGCAAUUAAAAAUUUGUGUAUCUACUAUACAAAUCAAGAAAUAAAAUGUUACCAGCACCUCCAAAGCCUCCUGGAUCCCCUUGCCAGUGGGAGUUUUAUCCCCUUAAAGGUAACAAAUACCCUGACUUCUAUGAUAAUUAAUCAUUCUAAGCCUUAUCUUUUACUAUAAAAUGAAGGUCCUUGCUCAGUAUUAAUUUUAAGCACUCAAAUCAAGUAGGAGUUUUGUAGAAUUAAGCUCAUUUCACCAGACAUUUAUGGUAUAGAGAGUAUGUGCCAGACACUCAACUAGGAGCUAGGGGAAUGCAAUUCAGUAAGAUAUUAUUUCCACCUGCAAGAAACUCAUGCAGGCUUGGGAGACUUUACUGGUGUUCAUGAAAGCAUAGGAGGAAUAAGUUUGGUCAACCAUAACUACAAUAACCCAAGGCAGAUUGGAACUGGAGAGAAACAAAAUAUGGCAAGAUUUCCAUUGCUUUGGCCUCUAAGCUAACACAUGGGCUGGCCAUGAUUUAACUGGGGAAAGGAUAUGACCAAGUCAUUCCCAAAGUGAAGUGUGUGAGGCAGAAUGGGAACGGUCUCAUACACGAAUCUGAAAGGGAGAGAGUUCUUCUCUCUGGCACCUUGAAAGAGGUGUUUCUAGACCAUUUCUAAGACAAGGUUCACAAUGUGUCAGGGAAGGAAAUUUUGGAAGCAAACUUCUUUCUUAAUCUUCUAAGUGAUUAGCAGGUGUUCCAUUUUUAGUUUUCUCACUUGGAAAAUAAAGAUAAUGGACUACUGAGAAAAUUCACUGAGAUGAUGUUUGGUGGGGGGUGGACUGGCACAAUGCUUGGCACCCACGAGAGCUUAACAAAGGCUAGCUCAGCCUUUGAGUGUUGUGAGUUCCAUUGUCUAGAUGACUCCUUUCUUGAAUAAAGAAAAAGAAGAAUUAAGUGGGACGAAAGAGGUCAAUUGCUCACAGGCCAUGGCACGAAAACAGGUUAGCACUCCUGCUUCUUUGCUAUUUGUUGAAAGAAAGAACAAUUAUAAUGUCAUUUAAUUCAUGACAAAAAAAUUGUCUUAAAUUAAAGUGUGAAAUGUGAUGAAUGUUAUUAUUUUAGUUAAGCACAGGAACUCUUCUCAAUACCCUGCUCUCCUUGCUCCAGAGUCUGGCUGUUGGUUUGCAAACUGGCCUCAAUACAUAGAAGGUAAGGAGAGAAGGAAAAAAAGAGUCAGGGUGCUCCAGAUUGGUAUGUGGUAGAGUGAAUAUACAAAGGAUAAUAAAUACGAGGCCUAAGCUGGGUGGCCAAAGACAAGUAUAUCUCUGUACUAGCCUACCAGAAUCUUAAAAGUUCAUGUAGAGGCCUUAACUGGGUUUAGUCACUGGGUUCAGACACAUACAGAUGUCUAAUAGGCACAUGAAAAUAUGCUCAUCAUCACUAAGGAUUAGAGAAAUGCAAAUCAAAGCUAUAAGGAGGUACCACCUCACACCAGUCAGAAUGGCCACCAUUAAAAAUCAACAACCAAAAAAACUAAACAACCCAACAGAAAAAUGGGCAGAAGACCUCAAUAGACAUACACUUAUAUCACUUGUAUGUGGAAUCUAGAAUAUGGCACAGAUGACCUAUCUAUAAAACAAAAACAGAUCAUGGACAUGGAGAUCAGACUUGUGUUUUCCAGGGGAGAGGGGGGAGAGAAGGGGAUGGAUGGAGAGUUUGGGGUUGGUAGAUGCGAACUAUUACAUUUAGAAUGGAUAAGUAAUGGGGUCCUACUAUACAGCAAAAGGAACUGUGCCCUGUCUCUUGGGUUAGAACACGAUGGGAGAUAGU